Macaca mulatta (Rhesus monkey) is the source of this 1806-nucleotide long non-coding RNA. Lineage: Eukaryota; Metazoa; Chordata; Mammalia; Primates; Cercopithecidae. The record is from Ensembl.
GCAAAAAGUAAAUAAUUACAGUGAACACUCUUAAAGUAGCUGCUACGUGCCAGCUACUGUUCUGGGUGUGUAUUUUAAUUAAUAUAAUACUCACAAUGGCCCCAAGGGAUAGGUGCUUUUAUUGUUUGCAUUGUUAAGAUACAGAAAUUGUAGCAUAGUGAAGGUAAGCAAUGUGCCUGUGACACACCACAUAUUUAGUAAUUGGUAAUGUCAGAAUUGGAACUGUCACUCUGGCUUCAGAGAUCCAUAAAAUGUGUUAUGUUGCACUCCACUUCUUCCAGUUGAAAGCAUUUUAAAUAACUUGAAGGACCUCGUUGAAAUCACAGGAGCUUGAUACGAGUUGGUUCAUUUCAGAGAGUAGCACAAAAACUGAUAAAUCCUUGCAUUAUUUAUUUUGAUUGAAGGUAUUUGAGAAUUCUAUGUGUUUGUAUGUGUGUCACCUGUGACAAAGGCACUAUAACUUUUGUUAUCUAAAUCGAUUGCAUUAUUUCUUUUAGCUUUGCCGUGCUGCUGAAAUGGGAUCCAAGUGGCCUCAGAGUCUCAUCUACAGGGAACAUUACCAAUCUCUUCAAGACAUAAUUACAGGCUUAUAUAUGCUUAAUUUAAUUAACAUGUUAAAGACUUCUGUGUAAAAACUGUGAUUUCCUGGCAACAUUCUGGAAGCAUGCAAGAGAGAAUUACAAUUGAUCUGGACUUUAGAGUUUCAUGUAUAGACUGCUAUCUGGAGGCACAGAGAGAAAAUCAUGUCUACAGCUUCGCCCUGUAGAGUGAAGUGAGCUUAUUUUAGGUAACCCAGACAAAUCAAAGUCUGUACAUUUUGCACCUCAAAUGCCAAGUGGGUUACCAUAAGCCCAUCACCCUCAAUACUCCCCACCACAUACUACUCUAUCUUUGACUUGUGAUCUAUUCUCAUCAGCAAACAAGAUGGGAGAAAAAUAAAAAUACAUGCAAGGCAAGAAAUGUUGUGUAUCUGCAGUUUUAAAGAUGCAGAGAACAAGCCGGGCAGCGGUGGUUCAUGCCUGUAAUCCCAGCACUUUGGGAGGCCAAGGUGGGUGGAUCACCUGAGGUAAGGAGUUUGAGACCAGCCUGGCCAACAUGGUGAAACCCCAUGUCUACUAACAAUACAAAAAUUAGCCGGGCGUGGUGGCAGACACCUGUAAUCCUAGCUAUUCGGGAGGCUGAGGCAAGAGAAUAGCUUGAACCCAGGAGGCGGAGGUUGCAGUGAGCCAAGAUCACACCACUGCACUCCAGCCUGGGCGACAGAGUGAGACUGUCUCAAAAAAAAAAAAAAAAAAAAAAAAGGCAGAAAACAACAGUGUUUGAUAUUAAUAAAUGUAAUGGAAAAUAUAUUUAAAUAUAAUAAAUCAUUUUUAUUUGUGGCAAAAUCUUACUAGAAGAAGGUGACAUUAGAGAUAAAGACUUGUGGAGAAUUCCGAAAAAUUUUCUUGUAAUUUUAUAGUACUGAUUCUUUAUAAUAUAUGCCUCUAUUAUAUAUGUGUCUCCAUAUGAUACAUAUGCUGUCAUUAAAUUUUGUGACUUUGGUUUGAGGAAGUUGCAGCUCUAGAUCUGAUAUUUUUGAUAGAAUAUGUGUUAGGUUGCAAAGAAAUUUAAGAGAGCAAUAUAAAGAGAAAUACAAGGGAGAUAUUCUACUGAAUAGAUUGACGAAGGAAUAGAUAGGAGAAAAAGGAAAGAGACUUCAGUAGAAUGGACUCAGAUGGCACUAUUUUACUGUCAAUAUUAUCAGAAAAACAGCAAGGAGAAGUACAAAAUUUAUUUUUUGAUAGUGAUGAGGAAGACAGUUUCCCA